This 465-nucleotide ribosomal RNA is filed under the name Vreelandella stevensii. Its description in RNAcentral is "partial 16S ribosomal RNA". It matches the Rfam family "Bacterial small subunit ribosomal RNA", at positions 338 to 795 of the family's 1533-position model. Lineage: Bacteria; Pseudomonadati; Pseudomonadota; Gammaproteobacteria; Oceanospirillales; Halomonadaceae. The record is from RNAcentral.
CCUACGGGUGGCAGCAGUGGGGAAUAUUGGACAAUGGGCGAAAGCCUGAUCCAGCCAUGCCGCGUGUGUGAAGAAGGCCUUCGGGUUGUAAAGCACUUUCAGUGGGGAAGAAAGCCUUGGGGCUAAUACCCUCGAGGAAGGACAUCACCCACAGAAGAAGCACCGGCUAACUCCGUGCCAGCAGCCGCGGUAAUACGGAGGGUGCGAGCGUUAAUCGGAAUUACUGGGCGUAAAGCGCGCGUAGGCGGUCUGAUAAGCCGGUUGUGAAAGCCCCGGGCUCAACCUGGGAACGGCAUCCGGAACUGUCAGGCUAGAGUGCAGGAGAGGAAGGUUGAAUUCCCGGUGUAGCGGUGAAAUGCGUAGAGAUCGGGAGGAAUACCAGUGGCGAAGGCGGCCUUCUGGACUGACACUGACGCUGAGGUGCGAAAGCGUGGGUAGCAAACAGGAUUAGAUACCCCUGUAGUC